This is a long non-coding RNA of Mustela lutreola (European mink), 1361 nucleotides long. RefSeq lists it as uncharacterized. NCBI's taxonomy places the organism in Eukaryota, Metazoa, Chordata, Mammalia, Carnivora, Mustelidae. The record is from RefSeq and is a predicted model, not a curated record. The transcript is spliced from 4 exons.
CUGAAUGUGCUUCUGUCCAUCAUCUGGGUCAUAUAUAGUUCAAUGCGAGCUGAGCAGACAGGGCUGCAAGGAAAUCUGGCGCGGUUCAAUACCUCGUCUAGCCUGGGUUCCAGUAUCUAAUUUUUUUUUUAACUGACAAACUCAUUUCUCUACCGGGACAGGAUGCUCUGCUGGCUGGAAGUUCCAUUUCUACAGCAAGAAUCCUAUCUGGAAACACAGAAGUUGUCCUCUAGCCACAGCAGCUCGAACUUUUUUGAUUGUUGUUGCUGCUUUCUCCCAUCACCCCCACCCCCUUUUGACAAAGAUCCAACUGUAAAAAGUCUUACGUAACAGUUCAGGACUACUUCGGUUCUUUUACUGGAGAGAGAGAAAACAGAAGCAGGCAGAGCAGUAGGCAGAGGGAGAAGCAGGCUCUCCCCUGAGCAAGGAGCAGAAUACAGGACUUGAUCCCCAGGAUCAUGACCGUAACCAACUGAGCCUCCCAGUAUAUCAAGAGGCCUCAAGAAGACUAUGAAAACAAUUACAUGUCCAAGUUGGAGCAAUGUGGGUUUCAAUAUUUCGUAGUACCUUUGGAAAAGGAAAAGAGCUGAUGGACAUUUGGAUUGCUUCCAGAUUUUGGCCAUCAUAAAUAAUGCUGCUAUAAACAUUCAUAUACAAGUCUUUGUGUAGACAUAUAUUUACAUUUCUCCUGGGUAGAUACCUUGGAGUGAAACUGUUGCAUCAUAUGGUAAGUUUCUAUUUAACUUUUUGUUUUGUUUUUAAGAAAAGGAUUUGCGGAGGGGCAAAGUGAAAGGGAGACAGAAACUUAAGCAGGCUCCACACCAACUGUGGUACACAAUGUAGGGCUCAAUCUCACAGCCUGAGAUCAUGACCUGAGCCAAAAUCAAGAGUCGGAUACUUAAGAAACUGGGCCACCCAGGCACCCCAUUUGCAACUUUUUAUUAAAUUUCCAAACUGACUUCUGAAGUGACUAUACCAUUUUACAUUCUUAUGGCAACGCACAAGGUUUCCAGUUGCCAUACAUCCUUACCAAUACAUUUUUAUAGUCUUUUUGACUACAGCCACUUCAGAGGCUGUACAGUAGAAAUUCACUGUGAUUUUAAUUUGCAUUUCCCUAAUAACUUGGGAUGUUGAACACCAUUUUAUGUGACAAAAUGUCUGUUCAAGUCUUUUGUCUCAUGUUUUUUCUUUUAUUUGUGAUAAAAUAUACAUAACAACAAAGUCUACCAUUUUAUACAUUUUUAGUGUGCAAUUCAGUGGCAUUAAAUUCAGAAGACUCUGCAACCACCAACACUAUCCAUUUCCAGAAUAUUUUCAGAAUUUUGUAUUUUUUUUAUUAUAUUUUUAAGAUUUUAUUUAUU